AAGAAGACNAAACCUGGGUUUUCGUGUCCAACGUUUGACUAUCUGUCUUAUAUGAAAUUUUUUAUAAUUAGUAUUUUCAUUGUUGUUAGAUGAUAAAAUAUGAUUAAUACUUUAUACGUGACUUGUCUUUUAAUUUUUUUUUCAUAAUUUUUUUAAAUAAGACAGACGGUCAAACAUUAAACACAAAAACCAUGGUU
This 197-nucleotide microRNA precursor is filed under the name Oryza sativa Indica Group (long-grained rice). RNAcentral's name for it is "MIR812 microRNA precursor family". It matches the Rfam family "MIR812 microRNA precursor family". The record is from Rfam by way of RNAcentral. Lineage: Eukaryota; Viridiplantae; Streptophyta; Magnoliopsida; Poales; Poaceae.